This 468-nucleotide ribosomal RNA is filed under the name uncultured bacterium. RNAcentral's name for it is "partial 16S ribosomal RNA". It matches the Rfam family "Bacterial small subunit ribosomal RNA", at positions 28 to 507 of the family's 1533-position model. The record is from RNAcentral.
GACGAACGCUGGCGGCGUGCUUAACACAUGCAAGUCGAACGGAAAGGCCCUGCUUUUGCGGGGUGCCCGAGUGGCGAACGGGUGAGUAACACGUGAGUAACCUGCCCUUGACUUUGGGAUAACUUCAGGAAACUGGGGCUAAUACCGGAUAGGAGCUCCUGCUGCAUGGUGGGGGUUGGAAAGUUUCGGCGGUUGGGGAUGGACUCGCGGCUUAUCAGCUUGUUGGUGGGGUAGUGGCUUACCAAGGCUUUGACGGGUAGCCGGCCUGAGAGGGUGACCGGCCACAUUGGGACUGAGAUACGGCCCAGACUCCUACGGGAGGCAGCAGUGGGGAAUAUUGCACAAUGGGCGGAAGCCUGAUGCAGCAACGCCGCGUGCGGGAUGACGGCCUUCGGGUUGUAAACCGCUUUCGCCUGUGACGAAGCGUGAGUGACGGUAAUGGGUAAAGAAGCACCGGCUAACUACGUG